RNAcentral lists this ribosomal RNA (512 nucleotides) under uncultured bacterium. RNAcentral describes it as "bacterial SSU rRNA". It matches the Rfam family "Bacterial small subunit ribosomal RNA", at positions 19 to 518 of the family's 1533-position model. The record is from RNAcentral.
AUGGCUCAGGAUGAACGCUAGCUACAGGCUUAACACAUGCAAGUCGAGGGGCAUCAUGGAGUUUGCUUGCAAACUCUGAUGGCGACCGGCGCACGGGUGAGUAACGCGUAUCCAACCUUCCCUAUAGUAGAGGAUAGCCCGGCGAAAGUCGGAUUAAUACUCUAUGUUUUCCGUUGCAGACAUCUAAGAUGGAACAAAGGCUUGCCGCUAUAGGAUGGGGGAUGCGUCUGAUUAGGUAGUCGGCGGGGUAACGGCCCACCGAGCCAUCGAUCAGUAGGGGUUCUGAGAGGAAGGUCCCCCACAUUGGAACUGAGACACGGUCCAAACUCCUACGGGAGGCAGCAGUGAGGAAUAUUGGUCAAUGGGCGAGAGCCUGAACCAGCCAAGUAGCCGUGCAGGACGACGGCCCUAUGGGUUGUAAACUGCUUUUAUGCGGGGAUAAAGUUCACUACGUGUAGUGUUUUGUAGGUACCGCAUGAAUAAGGACCGGCUAAUUCCGUGCCAGCAGCGGC